RNAcentral lists this ribosomal RNA (396 nucleotides) under uncultured bacterium. RNAcentral describes it as "partial 16S ribosomal RNA". It matches the Rfam family "Bacterial small subunit ribosomal RNA", at positions 523 to 918 of the family's 1533-position model. The record is from RNAcentral.
AUACGUAGGUGGCAAGCGUUGUCCGGAAUUAUUGGGCGUAAAGCGCAUGUAGGCGGUAAUUUAAGUCUGUCGUGAAACUGCGGGGCUCAGCCCCGUAUGGCGAUGGAAACUGGGUUACUUGAGUGCAGGAGAGGAAAGGGGAACUCCCAGUGUAGCGGUGAAAUGCGUAGAUAUUGGGAAGAACACCGGUGGCGAAGGCGCCUUUCUGGACUGUGUCUGACGCUGAGAUGCGAAAGCCAGGGUAGCGAACGGGAUUAGAUACCCCGGUAGUCCUGGCCGUAAACGAUGGGUACUAGGUGUGGGAGGUAUCGACCCCUUCCGUGCCGGAGUUAACGCAAUAAGUACCCCGCCUGGGGAGUACGGCCGCAAGGCUUAAACUCAAAGGAAUUGGCGGGG